Molecule: non-coding RNA, 354 nt
Filed under: Plesiomonas shigelloides 302-73
Lineage: Bacteria; Pseudomonadati; Pseudomonadota; Gammaproteobacteria; Enterobacterales; Enterobacteriaceae
Description: Bacterial small subunit ribosomal RNA
Rfam family: Bacterial small subunit ribosomal RNA
Source: Rfam by way of RNAcentral
UGACGUCAAGUCAUCAUGGCCCUUACGAGUAGGGCUACACACGUGCUACAAUGGCAUAUACAAAGGGCGGCAAGCUAGCGAUAGUGAGCGAAUCCCAUAAAGUAUGUCGUAGUCCGGAUUGGAGUCUGCAACUCGACUCCAUGAAGUCGGAAUCGCUAGUAAUCGCGGAUCAGAAUGCCGCGGUGAAUACGUUCCCGGGCCUUGUACACACCGCCCGUCACACCAUGGGAGUGGGUUGCAAAAGAAGUAGGUAGCUUAACCUUCGGGAGGGCGCUUACCACUUUGUGAUUCAUGACUGGGGUGAAGUCGUAACAAGGUAACCGUAGGGGAACCUGCGGUUGGAUCACCUCCUUA